Molecule: ribosomal RNA, 253 nt
Filed under: uncultured bacterium
Lineage: Bacteria
Description: partial 16S ribosomal RNA
Rfam family: Bacterial small subunit ribosomal RNA
Source: RNAcentral
UACGUAGGGUGCGAGCGUUGUCCGGAAUUACUGGGCGUAAAGGGCGCGCAGGCGGCCGACCAAGUCAGAUGUGAAAUAGCUCGGCUUAACCGGGCGGGGUCAUUUGAAACUGGUCAGCUAGAGUACAGCAGAGGUUAGCGGAAUUCCCGGUGUAGUGGUGAAAUGCGUAGAGAUCGGGAGGAACACCAGAGGCGAAGGCGGCUAACUGGGCAUGUACUGACGCUGAGGCGCGAAGGCUAAGGGAGCAAACAGG